CCUACGGGGGACAGCAGUGAGGAAUAUUGGUCAAUGGACGCGAGCCUGAACCAGCCAAGUCGCGUGAAGGAUGACGGCCCUACGGGUUGUAAACUUCUUUUGUAAGAGGGUAAACGCAGACACGUGUAUCUGUCUGUAAGUAACGUACGAAUAAGGAUCGGCUAACUCCGUUCCAGCAGCCGCGGUAAUACGGAGGAUUCCAGCGUUAUCCGGAUUUAUUGGGUUUAAAGGGUGCGUAGGGGGGCUGAUAAGUUAGGUGUGAAAUCUUGGGGCUCAACUUCGGAAUUGCCUUUGAUACUGGUAGGCUUGAGAGGAGUUGAGGUAGGCGGAAUGCGUUGUGUAGCGGUGAAAUGCUUAGAGAUCACGCAGAACUCCGAUUGCGAAGGCAGCUUACCAAGCUACUACUGACGUUGAGGCACGAAAGCGUGGGUAGCAAACAGGAUUAGAUACCCUGGUAGUC
This 460-nucleotide ribosomal RNA is filed under the name uncultured bacterium. Its description in RNAcentral is "partial 16S ribosomal RNA". It matches the Rfam family "Bacterial small subunit ribosomal RNA", at positions 338 to 795 of the family's 1533-position model. The record is from RNAcentral.